RNAcentral lists this transfer RNA (86 nucleotides) under Phycisphaera sp. TMED151. RNAcentral's name for it is "tRNA-Leu". It matches the Rfam family "tRNA". From Rfam's summary of the family: Transfer RNA (tRNA) molecules are approximately 80 nucleotides in length. RNAcentral also lists the same sequence under 5 other names. The record is from RNAcentral. Lineage: Bacteria; Pseudomonadati; Planctomycetota; Phycisphaerae; Phycisphaerales; Phycisphaeraceae.
GGGCUCGUGGCGGAAUUGGCAGACGCAGCGGACUUAAAAUCCGCGGCUCAAAUUGAGCGUUGAGGGUUCGAGUCCCUCCGAGCCUA